Molecule: ribosomal RNA, 482 nt
Filed under: uncultured bacterium
Lineage: Bacteria
Description: partial 16S ribosomal RNA
Rfam family: Bacterial small subunit ribosomal RNA
Source: RNAcentral
GACGAACGCUGGCGGCGUGCCUAACACAUGCAAGUCGAGCGGAACUGUUUUGAAAGAUUUCUUCGGAAUGAAUUUGAUUUAGUUUAGUGGCGGACGGGUGAGUAACGCGUGAGUAACCUGCCUUCAAGAGGGGAAUAACAUUCUGAAAAGAAUGCUAAUACCGCAUGACAUAUCGGAACCACAUGGUUUUGAUAUCAAAGAUUUUAUCGCUUGAAGAUGGACUCGCGUCCGAUUAGUUAGUUGGUGAGGUAACGGCUCACCAAGACCGCGAUCGGUAGCCGGACUGAGAGGUUGAGCGGCCACAUUGGGACUGAGACACGGCCCAGACUCCUACGGGAGGCAGCAGUGGGGGAUAUUGCGCAAUGGGGGCAACCCUGACGCAGCAACGCCGCGUGAAGGAUGAAGGUUUUCGGAUUGUAAACUUCUUUUAUUAAGGACGAAAAAUGACGGUACUUAAUGAAUAAGCUCCGGCUAACUACGUG